GACGAACGCUGGCGGCGUGCUUAACACAUGCAAGUCGAACGGAAAGGCCUUUUCGGAGGUACUCGAGUGGCGAACGGGUGAGUAACACGUGGGUGAUCUGCCCUGCACUCUGGGAUAAGCCUGGGAAACUGGGUCUAAUACCGGAUAGGACCGCACUUUAGUGUGUGUGGUGGAAAGUUUUUUCGGUGUAGGAUGAGCCCGCGGCCUAUCAGCUUGUUGGUGGGGUAAUGGCCUACCAAGGCGGCGACGGGUAGCCGGACUGAGAGGUUGGUAGGCCACAUUGGGACUGAGAUACGGCCCAGACUCCUACGGGAGGCAGCAGUGGGGAAUAUUGCACAAUGGGCGCAAGCCUGAUGCAGCGACGCCGCGUGGGGGAUGACGGCCUUCGGGUUGUAAACUCCUUUCGCCAGGGACGAAGCGUUUUGUGACGGUACCUGGAGAAGAAGCACCGGCUAACUACGUG
Molecule: ribosomal RNA, 463 nt
Filed under: uncultured bacterium
Lineage: Bacteria
Description: partial 16S ribosomal RNA
Rfam family: Bacterial small subunit ribosomal RNA
Source: RNAcentral